This 74-nucleotide transfer RNA is filed under the name Planctomycetota bacterium. Its description in RNAcentral is "tRNA-Arg". It matches the Rfam family "tRNA". Rfam says of the family: Transfer RNA (tRNA) molecules are approximately 80 nucleotides in length. Lineage: Bacteria; Pseudomonadati; Planctomycetota. The record is from RNAcentral.
GCGCGCGUAGCUCAAUUGGAUAGAGCAUCGGUCUACGGAACCGAAGGUUACAGGUUCGAAUCCCGUCGCGCGUA